UACGGAGGAGGCAAGCGUUAUCCGGAAUUAUUGGGCGUAAAGCGUCCGCAGGUGGCUAUUCAAGUCUGCGGUCAAAGACUGGGGCUUAACCCUGGAAAGGCCGUGGAAACUGAAGAGCUAGAGUGCAGUAGGGGUAGAGGGAAUUCCCGGUGUAGCGGUGAAAUGCGUAGAUAUUGGGAAGAACACCAGCGGCGAAAGCGCGCUACUGGACCGAGACUGACACUCAUGGACGAAAGCUAGGGGAGCGAAAGGG
Molecule: ribosomal RNA, 253 nt
Filed under: uncultured bacterium
Lineage: Bacteria
Description: partial 16S ribosomal RNA
Rfam family: Bacterial small subunit ribosomal RNA
Source: RNAcentral